Molecule: ribosomal RNA, 25 nt
Filed under: Pythium insidiosum
Lineage: Eukaryota; Oomycota; Peronosporomycetes; Pythiales; Pythiaceae
Description: partial 28S ribosomal RNA
Source: RNAcentral
GACCUGAUAUCAGGCAAGACUACCC